RNAcentral lists this long non-coding RNA (2362 nucleotides) under Phocoena sinus (vaquita). RNAcentral's name for it is "lncRNA (ENSPSNG00000021276.1)". The record is from RNAcentral. Lineage: Eukaryota; Metazoa; Chordata; Mammalia; Artiodactyla; Phocoenidae.
AGAGGUUAAAUGUCUUGGUGAAGUCAUGUGUCAGUGGCUGCGGAGGGGGUCUGUGGCUCAGGCAGUGGUACAAAGAUGAAAAGAGUUUAUCCUGAAGCUACCAUCAGAAAGAGACUUCAAGAGAAUCUUGACACCCCUGAAAGGAAAAGACACCAGUAGAAAGAGGUGCGCAUCUCCUGGACAGCCCCGAGCUUGCAGGGACCAGACCUUCCGACCCCAUCAUCCAAGCUACGUGAACCCUUUGAAUUUGAACUUCUAAAAACGUGGGCACAACCUUUUUCCAGACUUCUCAACGCAGGCUACCCAGGACAAGCUGGGCCAAUAACGGAAAUAUACAGGAACCCCUCUGACCAAGAGACUGUCCCGCUGACAUCAGAACUGCCCAGGGGGAGCACCAUGGAAGGCGACUGUCUGAGCUGCAUGAAGUAUCUGAUGUUUGUAUUCAAUUUCUUCAUAUUUCUGGGUGGGGCCUGCCUGCUGGGCGUCGGCAUCUGGGUCAUGGUGGAGCCCACCGGCUUCCGGGAGAUCGUGGCUGCCAACCCCCUACUCAUCACGGGCGCCUACAUCCUCUUGGCCAUGGGGGGCCUGCUUUUUCUGCUCGGCUUCCUGGGCUGCUGCGGGGCCGUCCGGGAGAACAAGUGUCUGCUGCUGUUGUUCUUCCUGUUCAUCCUGAUCAUCUUCUUGGCGGAGCUCUCGGCGGCCAUCUUGGCCUUCAUCUUCAGGGAGAACCUCACCCGCGAAUUCUUCACCAAGGAGCUCACCAAGCACUACCAGGGCAACAACGACACAGACGUCUUCUCUGCCACCUGGAACUCGGUCAUGAUCACAUUUGGUUGCUGUGGGGUCAACGGGCCUGAAGACUUUAAGUUUGCAUCAGUUUUCCGACUCCUGACUUUGGAUAGUGACGAGGUGCCGGAGGCCUGCUGCCGGAGAGAACCCCAGAGUCGGGACGGGGUCCUGCUGAGCAGGGAGGAAUGCCUCCUGGGAAGGGAUCUGUUCCUGAACAAGCAGGGCUGUUACACGGUGAUCCUCAAUGCCUUCGAAACUUACGUCUACCUGGCCGGAGCCCUCGCCAUAGGGGUGCUGGCCAUCGAGCUUUUUGCCAUGGUCUUUGCCAUGUGCCUCUUCCGGGGCAUCCAGUAGAGGGUGUGGCCUGAAGAUUGAAGACUCACCCCACCCACCACUGCCCAGCACCCAAUGCCCUCCCCUCCCCCUCGCCCCUGCCCUCUUGGCCCCGGGGGAGGAGGUGAGGCCAUGAUGGGUGGCUAGGAAAUGGGGCAGAGGAAAAUAGCUAUUUUUUUAACAAAAAAAAUGAAGGCAAAACUAUGGACUGAUGUAGCCCAUCUGGACUCCGGAACAGGCGCCAUGGGGUUCCCCGCGGGGGCCCGGGCACCUGAACCCAGGACGCAGCCUGCACUAGAGACCAAAGCAACACCAGGACCAGGCCUCCUCCUUGGUGCAGCCAGAUCAAGCAGCCCGGGACCUGCGCCCUCAACUCACAGCUUCAGGAUCUGGUGCCAAGGAAGUAAUAAGGAUUUAGGCAAGAAGGAGGCAAAAGAAAAUUGUGGAGAAAGGUUGGCAAAGCCCGCGGGCGCCGAGGAGACCUGGUCACCAUGUCCUUGAGGGCUUGGAGCCUACGUGGAGUCCCCGGUCCUCCGAGGAUGGAGUUGUCCCUGCCUCAGGCUGGGGCCAAGAGUGGGCCGCAGAUGCUGGAUCCAAGGAUGGCCCAGCCAGUAGGGUCCGUGCUUCCCCAUCUGUUGGAGCAAAUCAUCUGGAAAGCCCAGAGAGGAGCAGUUUCUCAUCCACAGUCACACAGCACAUGCGUGACAGUUCUGAACAAGAACUCCGCCAUCCCCAGGCUGCCUGUCACUCCUUCCAGGGUUCUGUUGGUCCCAGCAGACCUACUGCUCACACCCCUCCCUGGCCUCUGCAUCCUGGUUUCCCCAGAAGAGAGCGGGCAAGCUGGUCAGGAAUUGCCUCUUCCCGGCUCCACAGCUAAGAAAAUUCUGGACUCUGCCCUCCCUGGUCGCCCUGCCACCUCCCCACACUUUUCUCUAAGUCCCAGGAACACACACACAUGCACACACAACACAGCCCGUUUUCUACACUGCCCACUUUUCCUCCACCAACUCCACCAAUUCCCUGGCCCCCAGCGCUGGAAGGAACCCCCAAGAUCAUCUGGUUCUCCUCUCCUCACUCAGAACUGCCACUCAGAUGUCUUCCACAAGAUCCCUGCCAAGACUUCUCCACCUUCUUCUCGCACACCUCCAAGGACGGGGAGCUUACUACCUCCCAAGACAGGCUUCUCUUUGGACCGCUCUGACUUUAACAUCAGCUCAAUACACGGAAGAGGUUCCUGUUU